This 460-nucleotide ribosomal RNA is filed under the name uncultured bacterium. Its description in RNAcentral is "partial 16S ribosomal RNA". It matches the Rfam family "Bacterial small subunit ribosomal RNA", at positions 338 to 795 of the family's 1533-position model. The record is from RNAcentral.
CCUACGGGGUGCAGCAGUGAGGAAUAUUGGUCAAUGGGCGAGAGUCUGAACCAGCCAAGUAGCGUGAAGGAUGACUGCCCUAUGGGUUGUAAACUUCUUUUAUAUGGGAAUAAAACGUUCCACGUGUGGGAUUUUGUAUGUACCAUAUGAAUAAGGAUCGGCUAACUCCGUGCCAGCAGCCGCGGUAAUACGGAGGAUCCGAGCGUUAUCCGGAUUUAUUGGGUUUAAAGGGAGCGUAGGUGGAUUGUUAAGUCAGUUGUGAAAGUUUGCGGCUCAACCGUAAAAUUGCAGUUGAAACUGGCAGUCUUGAGUACAGUAGAGGUGGGCGGAAUUCGUGGUGUAGCGGUGAAAUGCUUAGAUAUCACGAAGAACUCCGAUUGCGAAGGCAGUUCACUGGACUGCAACUGACACUGAGGCUCGAAAGUGUGGGUAUCAAACAGGAUUAGAUACCCGUGUAGUC